AUGCUGGUGGAGCGGGAGGCCUCGUCGACGAUCUCGAUUCGUCCACUCCAGCUGCUACAUCUCCUCACCAUGUUGCUCGCUGAAUCGGCUCCCUCAUGGAACCAAGUCGAGGAUGUGCUACCUAUGGUUGUCAUCAUGGUCCGUAGUACCGGACUGCAGCAUGUUCUACGGCUGAUGCAUGGGCGUGUGGCUGCCCCCGCACGAGAGCUGCUGGAUGGAGCUCCUCAACGGUGCGACGAGGAGGGGAGAGGUGGAGGGAGCAGACGACGGCCGUCGUCUGCGCGGCCGACACUGACACCAGGAGAUGACUUUGUCGUAGAUGACGUGCGAAAAGGGGAUGGUGUCCACAUUGAAUCACAGAGAGUUCAUGAGGAUUUCUUGCUAGCAUCUAGAGUUGGAUGCCCUCAGGAAGACUACCGAACUCAAUGGGCGCGGAGGCGGCAACCUAGGGCGAGGGCGUCGGUGUGUUGA
Molecule: ribosomal RNA, 471 nt
Filed under: Triticum aestivum (bread wheat)
Lineage: Eukaryota; Viridiplantae; Streptophyta; Magnoliopsida; Poales; Poaceae
Description: partial small subunit ribosomal RNA
Source: RNAcentral